CACACUAGUACAGUACCAAGCAACCAAACAAACGCAUCUGCCAUCCACUUGAGCUUUCUCCCCCCCAUCCCACAACCCAUUUCUUCGAACUGAAAAAGCUAUGGUGAAGAAGAAGAAAUCAGAAAAUCAACUGGAAGAAGAAUCAAACCCAGAAGCAUUAGAACGUAAAAGACUCAAAAAACUUGCUUAUACUACCAACAUUCUAUCACAAACACCUGCUAAAGGAUUUUCUCCUCUUAAUCCCUCUAAAACUGUCAUCAAACACCAUGGCAAAGACAUUUUGAAGAAAUCCCAAAGAAAAAAUCGGUAUCUUUUCUCGUUUUCUGGUCUUAUUGCCCCUAUUUCCGGCGGCAAAAUUGGUGAUCUUACUGAUUUGGGUUCCAAAAACCCUAUCUUAUACCUUGAUUUUCCCAUGGGGAGGAUGAAGUUGUUUGGGACGAUUGUAUACCCGAAGAAUCGUUACUUGACUUUGCAGUUUUCUCGCGGUGGCAAAAAUGUCAUGUGUGAAGAUUGCUUUGACACCAUGAUUGUAUUUUCCGAUGCCUUUUGGGUUGGGAAGAAAGAUGAAAACCCAGAUGAAGUCAGAAUGGAUUUCCCAAAAGAGCUGUAUGAGGGAGAGCAUCCCGAGUUUGAUUUCGAUGGUGGUGCUAGUGCUGGUGCAACUGCUAUGACGAUUAAAGAUGUGAAGAAAGUUUUUACCAAAUCUGCUGAAGAAGAGUCACCUGUCGAUGAGAUGGACGUUGAAUCACCGGAAAAACAUGAAAGUCAGAAAGAUGUGGAAAACAACACGCCAGUCCGGCAAUCAGGGAGGACAGUUGGCAAAAAAUUCAAUUUUGCGGAAGUAUCUUCGGGUGAAGAUUCUGACGAGAGUUUCAGCGAUAUGUCCGGAGAAGUACAUGAGGGAAAUUCUAAGAGUUCCAAGUCAGGCUCAGUUGAUCUGUAUCCUCAAAAUCAAGAGAGCUCAGUAGAGAUAACUGAAUCUAAAGACGCUGCACAACCAAUGCUGCCUUCGUUGUCGAGUUCUGUAGCUAAGGAAUCUUCUCGUAUACUUGCCCAGUCCACUAUUACUACUCUAUUCAAGAAAGUUGAAGAAAAGAAUAAGUCCAGGAGUUCAAAAAAGAUUGCUGCUUUAUCUAAUGAGAAUAAACAGAUGAAUACUUCAAAAUCAACCAUCAAGCAAUUGAAGGCUGCAGAUAAGAAGAAAACGGACAUUAUCUCUCAAGACAAAAAAGCAGACGCAAGAAAUGACAGAAAGAAACAGAAAGCUGAGCCUGCUGAGGUUGAAGAUGACAUCGAGGAAUCCUCAAGUGCUUUCGAGGAUACCGAAGAAAGCGAUGAGGAUUGGUGUGCUUGAAUGUUUGCAUUGUUUCCUGCGAUUGUUUAAGGAUAUCUGGGAACUCUUGUGCAGGAAAUAACUGGAACAUUCAUUCACUCAUUUGUAUCAUUUGCUUCUAUGAUUGGAAAACUGUCGACCCCUCGAUAUGCACACUAGAUCGAGCUUAGCACAGCGAUACAGAGGGAUCCAUAACCAUCUCGUACUGAAUGUUGGCUCAAUCAUGGACUCAUCUGAGCAGAAGUUUACUAAUCAAAAUUUUAAGAAUAUGCCUAAACUUUCACGUUUGAGAGGGAUAUGCCGAGAGAAUGGAAGAACUAGGUGAGAGUCAAACUUUCGUAACACGUAACAGUCAUUCUAAUGGAUAUUUUUGAUAGUUGAUUAUUUUGAUUUUUAUAAAACUUGUCUAAGGGAUUUCAUAUAAUUUUUUUUUUUUGCAAA
This is an RNA transcript of Amaranthus tricolor (Joseph's coat), 1774 nucleotides long. It is a transcript of the gene named DNA-binding protein RHL1, with no coding region annotated. Lineage: Eukaryota; Viridiplantae; Streptophyta; Magnoliopsida; Caryophyllales; Amaranthaceae. The record is from RefSeq and is a predicted model, not a curated record. The transcript has 13 exons.